CUUAAGAAAUGUAUAAAAACUCCAGAAAUCCCUUCUAAACAUGUUAGGAACUGGGUCCCCAAAGUCUUGGAACAGCGACGACAAGGCUUGGAAACAUACUUACAGGCUGUCAUUUUAGAAAAUGAAGAACUUCCCAAACUGUUUCUUGAUUUCCUAAAUGUGCGACACUUGCCCUCUCUACCAAAGGCAGAAAGUUGUGGAUCUUUUGAUGAAACAGAGUCUGAAGAGUCAAGCAAACUGUCCCACCAGCCUGUGCUGCUGUUCCUCAGGGAUCCAUACAUCUUGCCUGCAGCCAGCGAAUACAACUCGGUGAGAUGGAUCCUCACUGCUUGAGUCCUGGAGGAGAAGCAAUGGCACUGUUUUCUAACAGACAACACUUCCCAUCUGAACAGAGAUCAAGCACACUCUGUUAUAGCCAGAUGACAUCUUUAUAUUUGGCUUAAAAGAAAGAAGACCCAGUUUAAAGGAAAUAAAAUUGAGACAUACCUCUCCUGUUGCUAGAGCAACAAAAUUUUCCACUGUCUUGGGCACA
Molecule: small RNA, 532 nt
Filed under: Pongo abelii (Sumatran orangutan)
Lineage: Eukaryota; Metazoa; Chordata; Mammalia; Primates; Hominidae
Description: processed transcript
Source: RNAcentral